CCUACGGGAGGCAGCAGUGGGGAAUCUUGGACACUGGGGGGAACCCUGAUCCAGCGACGCCGCGUGAGUGAAGAAGUAUUUCGGUAUGUAAAGCUCUAUCAGCAGGGAAGAAAGAAAUGACGGUACCUGACUAAGCAGCCCCGGCUAACUACGUGCCAGCAGCCGCGGUAAGACGUAGGGGGCAAGCGUUAUCCGGAUUUACUGGGUGUAAAGGGAGCGUAGACGGCGAUGCAAGUCUGAAGUGAAAGGCGGGGGCCCAACCCCCGGACUGCUUUGGAAACUGGAUGGCUGGAGUGCAGGAGAGGUAAGUGGAAGUCCUAGUGUAGCGGUGAAAUGCGUAGAUAUUAGGAGGAACACCAGUGGCGAAGGCGGCUUACUGGACUGUAACUGACGUUGAGGCUCGAAAGCGUGGGGAGCAAACAGGAUUAGAUACCCUUGUAGUC
This 443-nucleotide ribosomal RNA is filed under the name uncultured bacterium. Its description in RNAcentral is "partial 16S ribosomal RNA". It matches the Rfam family "Bacterial small subunit ribosomal RNA", at positions 338 to 795 of the family's 1533-position model. The record is from RNAcentral.